This 460-nucleotide ribosomal RNA is filed under the name uncultured bacterium. RNAcentral's name for it is "partial 16S ribosomal RNA". It matches the Rfam family "Bacterial small subunit ribosomal RNA", at positions 338 to 795 of the family's 1533-position model. The record is from RNAcentral.
CCUACGGGAGGCAGCAGUGAGGAAUAUUGGUCAAUGGACGAGAGUCUGAACCAGCCAAGUAGCGUGAAGGAUGACUGCCCUAUGGGUUGUAAACUUCUUUUAUAUGGGAAUAAAACGUUCCACGUGUGGGAUUUUGUAUGUACCAUAUGAAUAAGGAUCGGCUAACUCCGUGCCAGCAGCCGCGGUAAUACGGAGGAGCCGAGCGUUAUCCGGAUUUAUUGGGUUUAAAGGGAGCGUAGGUGGAUUGUUAAGUCAGUUGUGAAAGUUUGCGGCUCAACCGUAAAAUUGCAGUUGAAACUGGCAGUCUUGAGUACAGUAGAGGUGGGCGGAAUUCGUGGUGUAGCGGUGAAAUGCUUAGAUAUCACGAAGAACACCGAUUGCGAAGGCAGUUCACUGGACUGCAACUGACACUGAGGCUCGAAAGUGUGGGUAUCAAACAGGAUUAGAUACCCUAGUAGUC